GUUCUUGGAGCUCUGCUCUAGACUGUGACAACCCUGGAAUACCUAAGCGUUCCAGCUUUUAUCGCCACCCGACCUUCCUGUCUCCAAGCACGCACACGGCCCAGCCCUGCCACCCUUCCUCAAGUGCGGAACCCUCAGUUUUUAACAAAGAGAAAGGGCGUUCUCGUGCAUUCUUUAUUAAGCUCCUCGUGGUGAUCAGGAUGAAGUGAGCAGUCAGCCAAUCCAUUCCUGACUGCGAGUGUUCACCGGAUGCAUGAGGAGCCCACCAGGGUCCUGGUAGUCAUGGAAACUCUGUGAUGUCAUCAAGCGAGCGCCUUCCAGUGAGAGGAUGCAGCCCAUGGAGGACAACGGACAGUGAGCGGGGUCUCUAUGCCUGCCUCUUCUAUGUUUGGUUUCCCCGUGUUUACGAAUUGCCAUCGAAUGUGAAAAAUGAGUGAUCAGACAAUACUUGUUAAGCCAUUAAACAGAUGAGCCAAACAAGGUCCUACUGGCUAUCAUUUGUGGUAGAGAUAGGAUCUCUACCAAGGUUACUCUGCUUGAAGAUCCGGGUUCUUAUCAGGUGCCGUGCCUAAUGCCCUGUGAAUUUUUCUCAUCUACUUAAAAUGGCAGCCCUCUAAGACAGUUAUCUUUGACUUGCAGCUCUGCUCCAGGAAGUCCAUCACCUUGUACAAGCUCUUGCUACACGUGCUGAGGGCACUGGGACCCGUCUUCCUUCACAGUUUGGCUUUCUCACCAAACAGCCAAGGUGUCCCCUUCGCAGCAAGGAAACAUGCUGGCUCCUGCUCUAAGUAGGCUAGCUCUCUGGCGUUCUGUGUGGCUUUUGACUUCAUGCACUUGAGCCCCGGGAACAUCUCUACAGACCGGUGUGCUACUUUUCAAGACAGGCGCCAUGUACUCAGCAUCUCUCUGUCCUUCUGGCAGAGCCUGCUGCUCAGUUGGGGUGACGGCAUCAUCAGUCACCCGUAUGGUGCGAGCUGCAGCUGGCACGGCCAUAUGGGUGCGCUGAAAGUUCUGAAUAACGGCAGGGAGCUUUGUCGGAUCGUUCGGAAAGCUGGAGUAUGGGACCAGGAGUCCCUUGGCACAGGGGAACUUCUAGUCAGAUCCUCUGCCAUCUCCACUAUCCUUCUGAACUUAGUAAGCUGUACCUCGCGGCAAAGUAGGAGAAAUAAAUGUAUGCGUGGCGGAACUUAUGAGCAAAACCACUGCAGCAAAACCCAGCUCAAA
Molecule: non-coding RNA, 1224 nt
Organism: Rattus norvegicus (Norway rat)
Lineage: Eukaryota; Metazoa; Chordata; Mammalia; Rodentia; Muridae
Source: RefSeq, a predicted model, not a curated record